This 70-nucleotide transfer RNA is filed under the name Moorena bouillonii PNG. Its description in RNAcentral is "Moorea bouillonii PNG tRNA-Gln". It matches the Rfam family "tRNA". From Rfam's summary of the family: Transfer RNA (tRNA) molecules are approximately 80 nucleotides in length. Their secondary structure includes four short double-helical elements and three loops (D, anti-codon, and T loops). The record is from RNAcentral. Lineage: Bacteria; Bacillati; Cyanobacteriota; Cyanophyceae; Coleofasciculales; Coleofasciculaceae. RNAcentral also lists the same sequence under 10 other names.
AGAUGGAUAGCUCAUGGUAGGGCACAUGAUUUUGGUUCAUGAAGUGUUGGUUCAAAUCCGACUCCAUCUU